AGUGAACGCUGGCGGUAGGCCUAACACAUGCAAGUCGAACGGCAGCACAGUAAGAGCUUGCUCUUACGGGUGGCGAGUGGCGGACGGGUGAGGAAUACAUCGGAAUCUACUUUUUCGUGGGGGAUAAUGUAGGGAAACUUACGCUAAUACCGCAUACGACCUACGGGUGAAAGCAGGGGAUCUUCGGACCUUGCGCGAUUGAAUGAGCCGAUGUCGGAUUAGCUAGUUGGCGGGGUAAAGGCCCACCAAGGCAACGAUCCGUAGCUGGUCUGAGAGGAUGAUCAGCCACACUGGAACUGAGACACGGUCCAGACUCCUACGGGAGGCAGCAGUGGGGAAUAUUGGACAAUGGGCGCAAGCCUGAUCCAGCCAUACCGCGUGGGUGAAGAAGGCCUUCGGGUUGUAAAGCCCUUUUGUUGGGAAAGAAAAGCAGCAGGUUAAUACCCCGCUGUUCUGACGGUACCCAAAGAAUAAGCACCGGCUAACUUCGUG
This 492-nucleotide ribosomal RNA is filed under the name uncultured bacterium. RNAcentral describes it as "partial 16S ribosomal RNA". It matches the Rfam family "Bacterial small subunit ribosomal RNA", at positions 29 to 507 of the family's 1533-position model. The record is from RNAcentral.